UGUUCCCGCAUGGGUGAGGAAGCAUGGGAAGCUGUUUUCGUAACGGCGACCUGGACAAGAAAUCUGUCCCUAUCUAUUAUCCAGCGAAACCACUGCCAAAGGAACGGGCUUGGAAAAAUUAGCGGGGAAAGAAGACACUGUUGAGCUUUACUCUAGUCUGGCACUGUAAGGAGACAUGAGAGGUGUAGCAUAAGUGGGAGAUGGCAAUAUCGCCGGUGAAAUACAACUACUUUCAUCGUUUCCUUACUUACUCGGUUGGGCGGAGCGCGUGCCCCGG
Molecule: non-coding RNA, 277 nt
Organism: Solenopsis invicta (red fire ant)
Lineage: Eukaryota; Metazoa; Arthropoda; Insecta; Hymenoptera; Formicidae
Source: Rfam